CAUUGCCGGUGGCUUCUCGUUUGACUUCAAUCCUGUCGUGGAGGGGGAGAGGAACGGUGGGGGUUCG
Molecule: transfer RNA, 67 nt
Filed under: Hemiselmis andersenii
Lineage: Eukaryota; Cryptophyceae; Cryptomonadales; Hemiselmidaceae
Description: partial Selenocysteine transfer RNA
Source: RNAcentral